UGCACGCGUGAUUCUAUGUUGCUUUGGAUAAAAGCAUCUGUUAAAUGGCAUAUA
Salmo salar (Atlantic salmon) is the source of this 54-nucleotide non-coding RNA. NCBI's taxonomy places the organism in Eukaryota, Metazoa, Chordata, Actinopteri, Salmoniformes, Salmonidae. The record is from Rfam.